This 468-nucleotide ribosomal RNA is filed under the name uncultured bacterium. RNAcentral's name for it is "partial 16S ribosomal RNA". It matches the Rfam family "Bacterial small subunit ribosomal RNA", at positions 28 to 507 of the family's 1533-position model. The record is from RNAcentral.
GACGAACGCUGGCGGCGUGCUUAACACAUGCAAGUCGAACGGAAAGGCCCUGCUUUUGUGGGGUGCUCGAGUGGCGAACGGGUGAGUAACACGUGAGUAACCUGCCCUUGACUUUGGGAUAACUUCAGGAAACUGGGGCUAAUACCGGAUAGGAGCUCCUGCUGCAUGGUGGGGGGUGGAAAGUUUCGGCGGUUGGGGAUGGACUCGCGGCUUAUCAGCUUGUUGGUGGGGUAGGGGCUUACCCAGGCUUUGACGGGUAGCCGGCCUGGGAGGGUGACCGGCCACAUUGGGCCUGAGAUACGGCCCAGGCUCCUACGGGAGGCAGCAGUGGGGAAUAUUGCACAAUGGGCGGAAGCCUGAUGCAGCAACGCCGCGUGCGGGAUGACGGCCUUCGGGUUGUAAACCGCUUUCGCCUGUGACGAAGCGUGAGUGACGGUAAUGGGUAAAGAAGCACCGGCUAACUACGUG